UUGUUUGCAAGCCCACAAAAAGAAGGGAUCCAGUGCCUUUGUUCAUUUGUUAUUUGUGUGGCAAGCCCAAAGAGGAGAACAGGUUUGUGCCCACUCCCCUUUAUUUAGUUUUUGUGAAGCCCAAUGUAUUCUUGCUGCAUAUUGGGAGGUAGAUAAAUAAUAACAAUGAGACUCAAAGUCUCAUCCCUUUGCCUGUGUCUUCUUCCCCAUUUCCCCGGACUUUGUUCAAUAUGGCAUUGUGCACUUAUUCCUUUUGUCCGUCACUUUUGGUGGCUUUUAGCUAUUCUUUUGACUUUCCUUUUCCUUUCUUUGCUGGAAAGGUCUUCAUGUCCUCGUAAAAAUCUGAAUGAGUCCAAAGGCAUGAUGAAGGAAAGUGGGUGUUGGAGCCAAGGAAGGGAAGGAAGGAGUUAACGUAGAGGGUGCGGUAGCUCUGCAAUAUAACACUAUGUUCUGUAGCUUAACUCGCAAGGUUGUCUUCAUGAAAAUUGUUCCUUAGCUUGUGAACUACAACAUAUCCAAAUUUGAGAGCCAUCGGAGUAGUACAACUCCAGAUAUUCAGAUCAACAUACUUUCUUCAUCAAAAUUGUUCCUUAGCUGGUGAACUACAACAUAUCCAAUGUUGAGAUUCAUCGGAGUAAUACAACUCCAGAUAUUCAGAUCUUCGAAACACCGCAGCAGCGUUGAAGCUUGCAGAAAUCUGACCGUCGUUUUGUUGGAGCUUCAUCACUCUAACUUCCGUCGCUCAAAUGGAAACAUUUCCUUCGUGAAAGUUGUUCAUCUGCUCAAGAACUAUAAGAUGUCCAAAUUCAGCUCUACUGAAGAAGAGCAGGAGUUGCAGAAAUUUGAUAGAUGGAAAGAGGCGGAAGAGGGAGAGGGAGAAAAAAGGUUGCU
Malus domestica (apple) is the source of this 891-nucleotide long non-coding RNA. RefSeq lists it as uncharacterized. Lineage: Eukaryota; Viridiplantae; Streptophyta; Magnoliopsida; Rosales; Rosaceae. The record is from RefSeq and is a predicted model, not a curated record.